UACAGAGGAGCCAAGCGUUGUCCGGAUUGACUGGGCGUAAAGCGCACGCAGGCGGACGCGCGCGUGGGGUGUGAAAUCUGGCCGCUUAACGGCCAGGCGCCAUCCCAUACGGCGCGUCUGGAGCAAUGCAGAGGUCGGUGGAAUUGCCGGUGUAGUGGUGAAAUGCGUAGAUAUCGAGAGGAACACCUGCGGCGAAGGCGGGUAGCUGGGACGACACUGACGCUGAGGCGCGAAAGCCAGGGGAGCGAACGGG
RNAcentral lists this ribosomal RNA (253 nucleotides) under uncultured bacterium. RNAcentral's name for it is "partial 16S ribosomal RNA". It matches the Rfam family "Bacterial small subunit ribosomal RNA", at positions 524 to 776 of the family's 1533-position model. The record is from RNAcentral.